This 467-nucleotide ribosomal RNA is filed under the name uncultured bacterium. RNAcentral describes it as "partial 16S ribosomal RNA". It matches the Rfam family "Bacterial small subunit ribosomal RNA", at positions 28 to 507 of the family's 1533-position model. The record is from RNAcentral.
GACGAACGCUGGCGGCGUGCUUAACACAUGCAAGUCGAACGAUGACGACCGAGCUUGCUCGGUCUGAUUAGUGGCGAACGGGUGAGUAACACGUGAGCAACCUGCCCUUCACUCUGGGAUAACCUCGGGAAAUCGGGGCUAAUACCGGAUAUGAGCUCCUGUCGCAUGGCGGGUGUUGGAAAGUUUUUCGGUGAAGGAUGGGCUCGCGGCCUAUCAGUUUGUUGGUGAGGUAGUGGCUCACCAAGGCGAUGACGGGUAGCCGGCCUGAGAGGGCGACCGGCCACACUGGGACUGAGACACGGCCCAGACUCCUACGGGAGGCAGCAGUGGGGAAUAUUGCACAAUGGGCGAAAGCCUGAUGCAGCGACGCCGCGUGAGGGAUGACGGCCUUCGGGUUGUAAUCCUCUUUCAGCAGGGAAGAAGCGAAAGUGACGGUACCUGCAGAAGAAGCGCCGGCUAACUACGUG